RNAcentral lists this ribosomal RNA (253 nucleotides) under uncultured bacterium. Its description in RNAcentral is "partial 16S ribosomal RNA". It matches the Rfam family "Bacterial small subunit ribosomal RNA", at positions 524 to 776 of the family's 1533-position model. The record is from RNAcentral.
UACGAAGGGGGCUAGCGUUGCCCGGAAUCACUGGGCGUAAAGCGCACGUAGGCGGCUUUUUAAGUCAGAGGUGAAAUCCUGGAGCUCAACUCCAGAACUGCCUUUGAUACUGAGAAGCUUGAGUCCGGGAGAGGUGAGUGGAACUGCGAGUGUAGAGGUGAAAUUCGUAGAUAUUCGCAAGAACACCAGUGGCGAAGGCGGCUCACUGGCCCGGUACUGACGCUGAGGUGCGAAAGCGUGGGGAGCAAACAGG